This 564-nucleotide ribosomal RNA is filed under the name Streptomyces albus. Its description in RNAcentral is "bacterial SSU rRNA". It matches the Rfam family "Bacterial small subunit ribosomal RNA", at positions 292 to 866 of the family's 1533-position model. The record is from RNAcentral. Lineage: Bacteria; Bacillati; Actinomycetota; Actinomycetes; Kitasatosporales; Streptomycetaceae.
CUGAGAGGGCGACCGGCCACACUGGGACUGAGACACGGCCCAGACUCCUACGGGAGGCAGCAGUGGGGAAUAUUGCACAAUGGGCGGAAGCCUGAUGCAGCGACGCCGCGUGAGGGAUGACGGCCUUCGGGUUGUAAACCUCUUUCAGCAGGGACGAAGCGCAAGUGACGGUACCUGCAGAAGAAGCGCCGGCCAACUACGUGCCAGCAGCCGCGGUAAGACGUAGGGCGCGAGCGUUGUCCGGAUUUAUUGGGCGUAAAGAGCUCGUAGGCGGCUUGUCGCGUCGACCGUGAAAACUUGGGGCUCAACCCCAAGCCUGCGGUCGAUACGGGCAGGCUAGAGUUCGGUAGGGGAGACUGGAAUUCCUGGUGUAGCGGUGAAAUGCGCAGAUAUCAGGAGGAACACCGGUGGCGAAGGCGGGUCUCUGGGCCGAUACUGACGCUGAGGAGCGAAAGCGUGGGGAGCGAACAGGAUUAGAUACCCUGGUAGUCCACGCUGUAAACGUUGGGCGCUAGGUGUGGGGGGCCUCUCCGGUUCUCUGUGCCGCAGCUAACGCAUUAAGCG